AAUAUUGGACAAUGGGCGAAAGCUUGACCUAGCCAUGCCGCGUGUGUUAAGAAGGUCUUCGGAUUGUAAAGCACCUUAAGUUGGGAGGAAGGGGUUGAACCUAAUACUCUCAAUCUUUGACGUUAUCAACAGCAUAAGCAUCUGCCAACCCGCAGCCGUCACCUGCGGUAAAACAGAGGGUGCAAGCGUUAAUCGGGAUUACUGGGCGUAAAGCGCGCGUAGGUUGUUCAGUAAGAUGGAAGUGAAAUCCCCGGGCUUAACCUGGGAACUGCUUUCAUAACUGCUGAGCUAGAGUACGGUAGAGGGUAGUGGAAUUUCCUGUGUAGCGGUGAAAUGCGUAGAUAUAGGAAGGAACACCAGUGGCGAAGGCGACUACCUGGACUGAUACUGACACUGAGGUGCGAAAGCGUGGGGAGCAAACAGG
Molecule: ribosomal RNA, 424 nt
Filed under: uncultured bacterium
Lineage: Bacteria
Description: partial 16S ribosomal RNA
Rfam family: Bacterial small subunit ribosomal RNA
Source: RNAcentral